This 460-nucleotide ribosomal RNA is filed under the name uncultured bacterium. Its description in RNAcentral is "partial 16S ribosomal RNA". It matches the Rfam family "Bacterial small subunit ribosomal RNA", at positions 338 to 795 of the family's 1533-position model. The record is from RNAcentral.
CCUACGGGAGGCAGCAGUGAGGAAUAUUGGUCAAUGGACGAGAGUCUGAACCAGCCAAGUAGCGUGAAGGAUGACUGCCCUAUGGGUUGUAAACUUCUUUUAUAUGGGAAUAAAAUGUUCCACGUGUGGGAUUUUGUAUGUACCAUAUGAAUAAGGAUCGGCUAACUCCGUGCCAGCAGCCGCGGUAAUACGGAGGAUCCGAGCGUUAUCCGGAGUUAUUGGGUUUAAAGGGAGCGUAGGUGGAUUGUUAAGUCAGUUGUGAAAGUUUGCGGCUCAACCGUAAAAUUGCAGUUGAAACUGGCAGUCUUGAGUACAGUAGAGGUGGGCGGAAUUCGUGGUGUAGCGGUGAAAUGCUUAGAUAUCACGAAGAACUCCGAUUGCGAAGGCAGUUCACUGGACUGUAACUGACACUGAGGCUCGAAAGUGUGGGUAUCAAACAGGAUUAGAUACCCUAGUAGUC